Molecule: long non-coding RNA, 782 nt
Organism: Mustela lutreola (European mink)
Lineage: Eukaryota; Metazoa; Chordata; Mammalia; Carnivora; Mustelidae
Exons: 2
Source: RefSeq, a predicted model, not a curated record
GACACUUGGCUUCGCCCGCGGCGUGAGAGGGGGGUGCCGAUGGGCGCGGCCCGGGGCGCUGCCAGUGCGGGGGCGCCGGGCUCCCCCCUGCAGCGGAGGGAGGGAGUGGAGCCGUCCAGCCGGGUUUCGCGCGGGAGAAUUGAGGGGGCAGUCCCGGCGCAGCCUCCAGCUGGCACGCCCGGCUACGCGCGCCGGAUAUUUGCAGGGUUUGUUCCAGCUCCUGCCCUGAAGCACAUGCCUCUGCUGCAAUCCGUGUCUCCGCUCCGGGAGAGUAUUUUCGAGCUACUUCGGAGCUCAUUUUGUUUAGUUGUUGUAAAGGGGCGGGGUUCCGCCGCCUCCCCAAAUAUUGCUACAGUGUUCACUUUGCACCACAAGCAACCUGGGUUUCCUUACCGAGGCCCUGGGGUUGGGAAGCUUCAAAUCCCCUCCAACUUUCCAGAGGUUAGAAAUACCGAUUAACAAAUAGUGACUGAACAACUACCAUGCGUCAAGCACUGUGUCAGACCUGGAAACACGAGAUGGAACAAAAAAAGAAAAAAAACAGGUCCCUGCUCUCUUGGGAGCUUGCAGUCAGGGAGCCAGCCACCAGCAAGAUGAUAUAUAAGUGCAAUCAUGAUACAACAGUGAAUGAAGUUGGCCAAACAUUUUCUCAAGCUUGAGGAGAGAACAUCUGGACACUUCCUCCUUUCAUUGGUUCAGCAAAUACAUGUGCUACGUCCUCUCCAUGUUCCAGACUGUGGGGGAAGAAAGAUCAAUAAAACGUAAUAUGAUUUUUUAAAAAA